GGAUAACCUACCUAUAAGACUGGGAUNNCUUCGGGAAACCGGAGCUAAUACCGGAUAAGAUUUUGAACCGCAUGGUUCAAUAGUGAAAGACGGCCUUGCUGUCACUUAUAGAUGGAUCCGCGCCGUAUUAGCUAGUUGGUAAGGUAACGGCUUACCAAGGCAACGAUACGUAGCCGACCUGAGAGGGUGAUCGGCCACACUGGAACUGAGAGCACGGUCCAGGGGAGGCAGCAGUAGGGAAUCUUCCGCAGGCGAAAGCCUGACGGAGCAACGCCGCGUGAGUGAUUCGGAUCGUAAAACUCUGUUAUCAGGGAAGAACAAACGUGUAAGUAACUGUGCACGUCUUGACGGUACCUGAUCAGAAAGCCACGGCUAACUACGUGCCAGCAGCCGCGGUAAUACGUAGGUGGCAAGCGUUAUAUUGGGCGUAAAGGCGCGUAGGCGGUUUUUUAAGUCUGAUGUGAAAGCCCACGGCUCAACCGUGGAGGGUCAUUGGAAAAACUUGAGUGCAGAAGAGGAAAGUGGAAUUCCAUGUGUAGCGGUGAAAUGCGCAGAGAUAUGGAGGAACACCAGUGGCGAAGGCGACUUUCUGGUCUGUAACUGACGCUGAUGUGCGAAAGCGUGGGGAUCAUUAGACCUGGUAGUCCACGCCGUAAACGAUAAGUGUUAGGGGGUUUCCGCCCCNUUAGUGNUGCAGCUAACGGCAUUAANCACUCCGCCUGGG
This 724-nucleotide ribosomal RNA is filed under the name Staphylococcus sp. SW8. Its description in RNAcentral is "bacterial SSU rRNA". It matches the Rfam family "Bacterial small subunit ribosomal RNA", at positions 119 to 877 of the family's 1533-position model. Lineage: Bacteria; Bacillati; Bacillota; Bacilli; Caryophanales; Staphylococcaceae. The record is from RNAcentral.